CUAAGAAUAUUCCGCAAUGGACGAAAGUCUGACGGAGCGACGCCGCGUGGAUGAAGAAGGCUGAAAAGUUGUAAAAUCCUUUUGUUGAUGAAGAAUAAGGGGGAGAGGGAAUGCUUCUCUGAUGACGGUAAUCGGCGAAUAAGCCCCGGCUAAUUACGUGCCAGCAGCCGCGGUAACACGUAAGGGGCGAGCGUUGUUCGGAAUUAUUGGGCGUAAAGGGCAUGUAGGCGGUUAUGUAAGCCUGAUGUGAAAUCCUGGGGCUUAACCCUAGAAUAGCAUUGGGUACUGUGUAACUUGAAUUACGGAAGGGAAACUGGAAUUCCAAGUGUAGGGGUGGAAUCUGUAGAUAUUUGGAAGAACACCGGUGGCGAAGGCGGGUUUCUGGCCGAUAAUUGACGCUGAGAUGCGAAAGUGUGGGGAUCGAACAGGAUUAGAUACCCUGGUAGUCCACACCGUAAACGAUGUACACUAGGUGUUGGGGCAAGAGCUUCAGUGCCAAAGCAAACGCGAUAAGUGUACCGCCUGGGGAGUAUGCCCGCAAGGGUG
RNAcentral lists this ribosomal RNA (546 nucleotides) under uncultured bacterium. RNAcentral's name for it is "bacterial SSU rRNA". It matches the Rfam family "Bacterial small subunit ribosomal RNA", at positions 355 to 896 of the family's 1533-position model. The record is from RNAcentral.